This 496-nucleotide ribosomal RNA is filed under the name uncultured bacterium. RNAcentral describes it as "partial 16S ribosomal RNA". It matches the Rfam family "Bacterial small subunit ribosomal RNA", at positions 29 to 507 of the family's 1533-position model. The record is from RNAcentral.
AUGAACGCUGGCGGCGUGCCUAAUACAUGCAAGUCGAGCGAACGGACGAGAAGCUUGCUUCUCUGAUGUUAGCGGCGGACGGGUGAGUAACACGUGGAUAACCUACCUAUAAGACUGGGAUAACUUCGGGAAACCGGAGCUAAUACCGGAUAAUAUUUUGAACCGCAUGGUUCAAAAGUGAAAGACGGUCUUGCUGUCACUUAUAGAUGGAUCCGCGCUGCUUUAGCUAGUUGGUAAGGUAACGGCUUACCAAGGCAACGAUGCAUAGCCGACCUGAGAGGGUGAUCGGCCACACUGGAACUGAGACACGGUCCAGACUCCUACGGGAGGCAGCAGUAGGGAAUCUUCCGCAAUGGGCGAAAGCCUGACGGAGCAACGCCGCGUGAGUGAUGAAGGUCUUCGGAUCGUAAAACUCUGUUAUUAGGGAAGAACAUAUGUGUAAGUAACUGUGCACAUCUUGACGGUACCUAAUCAGAAAGCCACGGCUAACUACGUG